UACGGGGGGGGCAAGCGUUGUUCGGAAUUACUGGGCGUAAAGGGCUCGUAGGCGGCCAACUAAGUCAGACGUGAAAUCCCUCGGCUUAACCGGGGAACUGCGUCUGAUACUGGAUGGCUUGAACCCGGGAGAGGGAUGCGGAAUUCCAGGUGUAGCGGUGAAAUGCGUAGAUAUCUGGAGGAACACCGGUGGCGAAGGCGACAUCCUGGACCGGAAUUGACGCUGAGUGAGCGAAAGCCAGGGGAGCAAACGGG
This 254-nucleotide ribosomal RNA is filed under the name uncultured bacterium. RNAcentral's name for it is "partial 16S ribosomal RNA". It matches the Rfam family "Bacterial small subunit ribosomal RNA", at positions 524 to 776 of the family's 1533-position model. The record is from RNAcentral.